Molecule: long non-coding RNA, 416 nt
Organism: Cucurbita moschata (crookneck pumpkin)
Lineage: Eukaryota; Viridiplantae; Streptophyta; Magnoliopsida; Cucurbitales; Cucurbitaceae
Exons: 3
Source: RefSeq, a predicted model, not a curated record
CUAACUUUCUUCAUGUUUUUGUUCUUUCUUUGUUCUUGUUUGAUGGAAAUGGCGUGGUAUUUUAGUUCGUGUUCUUGACUGUUCAUUUAUCCCUUUAUAGAGAAAUGCCUUAAGAACAUUAGCAGACAGUUCAUUUUCGAAACAGUUCCUUCAUAUUUAGAACUUUAUUGUUAGGUCCCACGGGGUAUGGAAACCUCUGCCUAGCAGACGUGUUUUAAAGCCUUGAGGGGAAGCCCAGAAGUGAAAGGUCAAAUAGGAUAAUAUCGGUUAGCGGUGAGUUUGGGCUGUUACAAAUGGUAUCAGAGCCAGACACCGAGUGAUGUGCAAGUGAGGAGGUUGAAACCGAAGGGGUGAACACUAGGCAGUGUGCCAGCGAGGACGCUAAGCCACAAAGAGGGGUGGAUCGUGAGAUCCCA